UGAGUACGAGACGCUAAGGCGUUGAAGCAGUCUAUGUCAGACUUCCAAGAAAAGCUCGCAAUGUCAUAAACAAGAAAUGCCUGUACCAUAACCGACACAGGUGGGUAGGUAGAGUAUACUAAGGGGCGCGAGAUAACUCUCUCUAAGGAACUCGGCAAAAUGACUCCGUAACUUCGGGAGAAGGAGUGCCUUAUUUUUAUAAGGUUGCAAUAACAAGAUCCAAGCAACUGUUUACCAAAAACACAGGUCUCCGCUAAGUCGUAAGACGAUGUAUGGGGGCUGACGCCUGCCCAGUGCCAGAAGGUUAAAGAAGUUGGUUAGUUUCGGCGAAGCUGAUGACUGAAGCCCUGGUGAACGGCGGCCGUAACGAUAACGGUCCUAAGGUAGCGAAAUUCCUUGUCGGGUAAGUUCCGACCCGCACGAAAGGCGUAAUGAUUUGGAUACUGUCUCGGAGAGGGGCUCGGUGAAAUAGACUUGUCUGUGAAGAUGCGGACUACCUGCACCUGGACAGAAAGACCCUAUGAAGCUUUACUGUAACUUGAGAUUGAAAUUGGACUUUAUUUGCGCAGUAUAGGUGGGAGACGUUGAGAAUAUUCUUGCGGGAAUAUUGGAGUCAUCAGUGAGAUACCACUCUUGUAAUGUUAGAUUUCUAACUUUGUAUCAUUAUCUGGUCAAAGGACAGUUUCAGGCGGGCAGUUUGACUGGGGCGGUCGCCUCCCAAACGGUAACGGAGGCGCACAAAGGUUUCCUCUGAACGUGUAGAAAUCGUAUCUAGAGUGUAAAGGCAUAAGGAAGCUUGACUGUGAGACCUACAAGUCGAGCAGGGACGAAAGUCGGUCCUAGUGAUCUGACGGUGCUGAGUGGAAAGGCCGUUACUCAACGGAUAAAAGUUACUCUAGGAUAACAGGCUGAUCUCCCCCAAGAGUUCACAUCGACGGGGAGGUUUGGCACCUCGAUGUCGGCUCAUCGCAUCCUGGGGCGGUAGUACGUCCCAAGGGUUGGGCUGUUCGCCCAUGAAAGCGGUACGCGAGCUGGGUUCAGAACGUCGUGAGACAGUUCGGUCCAUAUCCGGUGUAGGCGUUAGAAUAUUGAGAGGAGCCUUCUUUAGUACGAGAGGACCGAGAAGGACAUACCUCUGGUGUACCAGUUAUCGUGCCAACGGUAAACGCUGGGUAGCUAUGUAUGGAGUGGAUAACCGCUGAAAGCAUCUAAGUGGGAAGCCCACGUCAAGAUAAGUAUUCUCA
Molecule: ribosomal RNA, 1244 nt
Filed under: metagenome
Description: bacterial LSU rRNA
Rfam family: Bacterial large subunit ribosomal RNA
Source: RNAcentral